CUCAAAUGCCUCCUUGGCCAUGCUACAUGCUUUAUCGGACUGAUUCAGAAUCUCGAAGUAAAACACAGAGAAAUUGAGUGCCAGCCCUAGCCUUAUCGGAUGAGUGGGUGCAAGAUCUGCAACUGCGACAUCCUGAGCAGCUCUAUAAGCCAGCAUAGUAUCCUCAGCAGCGGCUUUCCUCUCAUCCCCAACCUUAAACUCCGCCAAAUACCUAUGGUAAUCCCCUUUCAUCUUCAAGUAGAAGACCUUAGACUCACUAGCAGAGGCGGAGGGAAUAAGAUUCGAGUCCAAAAGCUGCAAAAUACUCGCACAGACGUCGGAAAGCUCAGCCUCAACCUUUGAUCUGUAAUCCUUAACAAGAACAACAUGCUCUUCAUUCUUACGGCUCUCCUCCUUUUGCUCGAUGGAAGAGACAAUCCGCCAAGCGGCUCGAAGUGAGCCAAUCACGUUCUUGUAAGCGACAGAGAGAAGAUUUCGCUCCUCGACAGAGAGCUCAGAGCCUGGGGUUGAACCAAGAACAAGUUUCUGCAUGAACUGAACCAUCUCCUCAUAUCUUUCAGCCUGCUCGGCAAGCUUCGCUAGAUACACAUAUUGCUCGCGAGAGAGAUUUUCCGGCACGGUGGCGGCCAUUUUGAACUCCGG
This 642-nucleotide unclassified non-coding RNA is filed under the name Hevea brasiliensis (rubber tree). The record is from RNAcentral. Lineage: Eukaryota; Viridiplantae; Streptophyta; Magnoliopsida; Malpighiales; Euphorbiaceae.